UGGCGGAUGCUUACACAUGCAAGUCGUACGGGCAGCUUCGGCUGUCAGUGGCGGACGGGUGAGUAACGCGUAGGAACGUGUCCUGUGGUGGGGGAUAACGCUGGGAAACUGGCGCUAAUACCGCAUAUGGCCUGAGGGUCAAAGCCGUGAGGCGUCAUGGGAGCGGCCUGCGUCCGAUUAGGUAGUUGGUGGGGUAAAGGCCUACCAAGCCUGCGAUCGGUAGCUGGUCUGAGAGGAUGAUCAGCCACACUGGGACUGAGACACGGCCCAGACUCCUACGGGAGGCAGCAGUGGGGAAUAUUGGACAAUGGGCGAAAGCCUGAUCCAGCAAUUCCGCGUGGGUGAAGAAGGUCUUCGGAUUGUAAAGCCCUUUCGGCAGGGACGAUGAUGACGGUACCUGCAGAAGAAGCCCCGGCUAACUUCGUGCCAGCAGCCGCGGUAAU
This 443-nucleotide ribosomal RNA is filed under the name uncultured Rubritepida sp. Its description in RNAcentral is "bacterial SSU rRNA". It matches the Rfam family "Bacterial small subunit ribosomal RNA", at positions 37 to 524 of the family's 1533-position model. Lineage: Bacteria; Pseudomonadati; Pseudomonadota; Alphaproteobacteria; Acetobacterales; Roseomonadaceae. The record is from RNAcentral.